Molecule: ribosomal RNA, 393 nt
Filed under: uncultured bacterium
Lineage: Bacteria
Description: partial 16S ribosomal RNA
Rfam family: Bacterial small subunit ribosomal RNA
Source: RNAcentral
AUACGGAGGAUGCGAGCGUUAUCCGGAUUUAUUGGGCGUAAAGGGAGCGUAGGUGGGAUAUUAGGUCAGAUGUGAAAGUUUGGGGCUCAACCUUAAAAUUGCAGUUGAUACUGGUUUCCUUGAGUACGGUACAGGUGGGCGGAAUUCGUGGUGUAGCGGUGAAAUGCUUAGAUAUCAGGAAGAACUUCGAUCGCGAAGGCAGCUGACCGGGCCGGAACUGACACUGAUGCUCGAAAGUGCGGGUAUCAAACAGGAUUAGAUACCCUGGUAGUCCGCACAGUAAACGAUGAAUACUCGCUGUUUGCGAUACACGGUAAGCGGCCAAGCGAAAGCGUUAAGUAUUCCACCUGGGGAGUGCGCCGGCAACGGUGAAACUCAAAGGAAUUGACGGGG